CGAACGGGUGAGUAACGCGUAAGAACCUGCCCUUGGGAGGGGAACAACAACUGGAAACGGUUGCUAAUACCCCGUAGGCUGAGGAGCAAAAGGAGAAAUCCGCCCAAGGAGGGGCUCGCGUCUGAUUAGCUAGUUGGUGAGGCAAUAGCUUACCAAGGCGAUGAUCAGUAGCUGGUCCGAGAGGAUGAUCAGCCACACUGGGACUGAGACACGGCCCAGACUCCUACGGGAGGCAGCAGUGGGGAAUUUUCCGCAAUGGGCGAAAGCCUGACGGAGCAAUGCCGCGUGGAGGUGGAAGGCCUACGGGUCGUCAACUUCUUUUCUCGGAGAAGAAACAAUGACGGUAUCUGAGGAAUAAGCAUCGGCUAACUCUGUGCCAGCAGCCGCGGUAAU
Molecule: ribosomal RNA, 393 nt
Filed under: uncultured eukaryote
Lineage: Eukaryota
Description: bacterial SSU rRNA
Rfam family: Bacterial small subunit ribosomal RNA
Source: RNAcentral